This 845-nucleotide long non-coding RNA is filed under the name Monodelphis domestica (gray short-tailed opossum). RNAcentral describes it as "lncRNA (ENSMODG00000033301.2)". The record is from RNAcentral. Lineage: Eukaryota; Metazoa; Chordata; Mammalia; Didelphimorphia; Didelphidae.
UGAUCCUAGCUAGGGAGUUGUUAGGCCAAACUUAAAUGUCUCCAACUUCAUAGGACCUGUGAGAGUUUGUGCUUGAAUAGCCUUUAAAAACACUUCAAAGUGACUCUGACACAAUGUGGACUCCAUGGGGAACUCAAGCAGGAGGAAAGGUUAUGUUUAAAAAAAGCAAUUUUGAAGUGCUAAUGUUGUGCCAAGCAACUAGGCUGAACAUGAGGUCCCACCCACAUCCACUAGAGAGGAGGCACAUUUGUUCCUGGACUCUAUUGUCUUCAGUGCUUGUAUGCUCAAACAAAUACAACCAACCUCUAUGCAAACUGCCUUGUCAAAGGGAGCUAGGAAAUGGAUUAUUUCUAUUUCUCAUGUUCUCAGAUGAAUGUCUUCUUUCUUCCAACUAUGUGCAUGUUGGUCCCCUGCCUCCUUGUGACUACAAAUACUCCUCUCUACAUUGGAACCUGGAAUUGAAUAAUAUGCAAUGGAAUUGCCAAACAUCACUUGGACCUGUGCCCAGUAUUACCUCAAGAGUCUUCUGUAAUAUCUUUUUGAUGAUGGAGUCAGAAAUAAACCACUGGAACCUUGUGUAAAAGAAAGCUAAACUUUUCAGGCCACCAGUGAUUCAAUUUCACAAAAGCAUCUUUGGUAUUUGCAUAUACAGAUUGAAUUAUUUAUAAUUAACUUCCCAAAUCAUGUACUCCAACAGCCUUCUAAUUCCCUUGGUCUUCUGCCUCAUUGAAAAGUUCAGUCACAUUUGACAACUCCAAUCUGGCAUUUUAAAUGUGACAAGCCUAGCCACUACACUCAUUCUUCAAAUGACUUAGGCAAAGUGACACUCACUAAAACCUUCCACC